GUAGUACCUGCACAAUUCUACCAACAAGGAGGGGCCUCAUCCACAGGCUUUUCUUCACUAUUUAUCCUUGGCAGAUUCCUUCAGGCUCACCAGUUCUCAUUUACUGAGCACUCGCUAUGCACAGAGCUAAUUAGCCAGAGUUGGAUUGGUUUUCCUUAAAGAGAAGAUCUGGAGAAAAAGAAUGGAUGAAGAUGACUUUUAUGAGAUACAAUCUUCUGAGGCACAGACAAAAGAGUCGUCCGUUCUCAGUCCUCACUGUGUUCUAGAAGAAAAGCCAUGAAAGGGUGUGGGGCUUUUGCAUCAACAACAGGCUGGCAGAGAAAGUUCAAUCCCAGUAGCCCUUGCAGGAACACACCCUUUUUGAUGAUUGCUGGAAUCAUCUCAUCAGAACCUGUGCUGUUUACCCAGCAACGCUUUGAUGCAAGACUCAAGAGAAUAACUGAAAGGAAGAGUGUCCUAUGUUAGCUGGAGCUUUUCAGCGGCUUAUGCUGUUGUGGUGGGACAGUUCACAUGAUGACAACUGGAAAGCCAAGUCCAGGGAGUGGAAGAAGGACCUUGAGCAAAUGCUGCCCCAGAGCCAGAAGGACACACCCUCUCCUACUGUUCGUCUCCUCCCAGUGAUGACCUCAGACAAAUGGACUCAUUAAAGGACUAAUCCUUUCAGGAUUGAUCAGCCGGCAAACAAGCCCCUAGCCCACAAAGCUAUAGGUAGCAUGUCAUAUCCUAACCACGACAGACUCGAAUCGCACCUCAGCCGGCACACACUUUUAGGUUGUACCUGUACCUGUAUGUAGAGAACAACUUUCUGUGAUCCUGAAGAAAAAUUUGCACAAAGGAACAGGGUAAAGUAGACUUUGGGGGGGUGAGAAAUUUCAGCCAUGUGGAAACUUCCAUGGCUGCGAGGAUGGUUGCUACAGUGCUCUGAGGAACCUCUGAGGAUCCCCUGUCAGCAGAAGGAAAGAGGUGUAGCCACACAGUGUGCACCUGUAGAGAGACAUAGGAAAGGUCACUUAGGAAGGAAGAAUGGCUAGGCAGGUAAUUCUGCAGUAGGAACACCGGACAUCAGGC
RNAcentral lists this long non-coding RNA (1068 nucleotides) under Mus spicilegus (steppe mouse). Its description in RNAcentral is "lncRNA (ENSMSIG00000021047.1)". The record is from RNAcentral. Lineage: Eukaryota; Metazoa; Chordata; Mammalia; Rodentia; Muridae.